RNAcentral lists this ribosomal RNA (2927 nucleotides) under Staphylococcus aureus. RNAcentral's name for it is "23S ribosomal RNA". It matches the Rfam family "Bacterial large subunit ribosomal RNA". The record is from RNAcentral. Lineage: Bacteria; Bacillati; Bacillota; Bacilli; Caryophanales; Staphylococcaceae.
UUAAGUUAUUAAGGGCGCACGGUGGAUGCCUUGGCACUAGAAGCCGAUGAAGGACGUUACUAACGACGAUAUGCUUUGGGGAGCUGUAAGUAAGCUUUGAUCCAGAGAUUUCCGAAUGGGGAAACCCAGCAUGAGUUAUGUCAUGUUAUCGAUAUGUGAAUACAUAGCAUAUCAGAAGGCACACCCGGAGAACUGAAACAUCUUAGUACCCGGAGGAAGAGAAAGAAAAUUCGAUUCCCUUAGUAGCGGCGAGCGAAACGGGAAGAGCCCAAACCAACAAGCUUGCUUGUUGGGGUUGUAGGACACUCUAUACGGAGUUACAAAGGACGACAUUAGACGAAUCAUCUGGAAAGAUGAAUCAAAGAAGGUAAUAAUCCUGUAGUCGAAAAUGUUGUCUCUCUUGAGUGGAUCCUGAGUACGACGGAGCACGUGAAAUUCCGUCGGAAUCUGGGAGGACCAUCUCCUAAGGCUAAAUACUCUCUAGUGACCGAUAGUGAACCAGUACCGUGAGGGAAAGGUGAAAAGCACCCCGGAAGGGGAGUGAAAUAGAACCUGAAACCGUGUGCUUACAAGUAGUCAGAGCCCGUUAAUGGGUGAUGGCGUGCCUUUUGUAGAAUGAACCGGCGAGUUACGAUUUGAUGCAAGGUUAAGCAGUAAAUGUGGAGCCGUAGCGAAAGCGAGUCUGAAUAGGGCGUUUAGUAUUUGGUCGUAGACCCGAAACCAGGUGAUCUACCCUUGGUCAGGUUGAAGUUCAGGUAACACUGAAUGGAGGACCGAACCGACUUACGUUGAAAAGUGAGCGGAUGAACUGAGGGUAGCGGAGAAAUUCCAAUCGAACCUGGAGAUAGCUGGUUCUCUCCGAAAUAGCUUUAGGGCUAGCCUCAAGUGAUGAUUAUUGGAGGUAGAGCACUGUUUGGACGAGGGGCCCCUCUCGGGUUACCGAAUUCAGACAAACUCCGAAUGCCAAUUAAUUUAACUUGGGAGUCAGAACAUGGGUGAUAAGGUCCGUGUUCGAAAGGGAAACAGCCCAGACCACCAGCUAAGGUCCCAAAAUAUAUGUUAAGUGGAAAAGGAUGUGGCGUUGCCCAGACAACUAGGAUGUUGGCUUAGAAGCAGCCAUCAUUUAAAGAGUGCGUAAUAGCUCACUAGUCGAGUGACACUGCGCCGAAAAUGUACCGGGGCUAAACAUAUUACCGAAGCUGUGGAUUGUCCUUUGGACAAUGGUAGGAGAGCGUUCUAAGGGCGUUGAAGCAUGAUCGUAAGGACAUGUGGAGCGCUUAGAAGUGAGAAUGCCGGUGUGAGUAGCGAAAGACGGGUGAGAAUCCCGUCCACCGAUUGACUAAGGUUUCCAGAGGAAGGCUCGUCCGCUCUGGGUUAGUCGGGUCCUAAGCUGAGGCCGACAGGCGUAGGCGAUGGAUAACAGGUUGAUAUUCCUGUACCACCUAUAAUCGUUUUAAUCGAUGGGGGGACGCAGUAGGAUAGGCGAAGCGUGCGAUUGGAUUGCACGUCUAAGCAGUAAGGCUGAGUAUUAGGCAAAUCCGGUACUCNNNNNNNNNNNNNNNNNNNNNNNNNNNNNNNNNNNNNNNNNGUCUUCGAGUCGUUGAUUUCACACUGCCGAGAAAAGCCUCUAGAUAGAAAAUAGGUGCCCGUACCGCAAACCGACACAGGUAGUCAAGAUGAGAAUUCUAAGGUGAGCGAGCGAACUCUCGUUAAGGAACUCGGCAAAAUGACCCCGUAACUUCGGGAGAAGGGGUGCUCUUUAGGGUUAACGCCCAGAAGAGCCGCAGUGAAUAGGCCCAAGCGACUGUUUAUCAAAAACACAGGUCUCUGCUAAACCGUAAGGUGAUGUAUAGGGGCUGACGCCUGCCCGGUGCUGGAAGGUUAAGAGGAGUGGUUAGCUUCUGCGAAGCUACGAAUCGAAGCCCCAGUAAACGGCGGCCGUAACUAUAACGGUCCUAAGGUAGCGAAAUUCCUUGUCGGGUAAGUUCCGACCCGCACGAAAGGCGUAACGAUUUGGGCACUGUCUCAACGAGAGACUCGGUGAAAUCAUAGUACCUGUGAAGAUGCAGGUUACCCGCGACAGGACGGAAAGACCCCGUGGAGCUUUACUGUAGCCUGAUAUUGAAAUUCGGCACAGCUUGUACAGGAUAGGUAGGAGCCUUUGAAACGUGAGCGCUAGCUUACGUGGAGGCGCUGGUGGGAUACUACCCUAGCUGUGUUGGCUUUCUAACCCGCACCACUUAUCGUGGUGGGAGACAGUGUCAGGCGGGCAGUUUGACUGGGGCGGUCGCCUCCUAAAAGGUAACGGAGGCGCUCAAAGGUUCCCUCAGAAUGGUUGGAAAUCAUUCAUAGAGUGUAAAGGCAUAAGGGAGCUUGACUGCGAGACCUACAAGUCGAGCAGGGUCGAAAGACGGACUUAGUGAUCCGGUGGUUCCGCAUGGAAGGGCCAUCGCUCAACGGAUAAAAGCUACCCCGGGGAUAACAGGCUUAUCUCCCCCAAGAGUUCACAUCGACGGGGAGGUUUGGCACCUCGAUGUCGGCUCAUCGCAUCCUGGGGCUGUAGUCGGUCCCAAGGGUUGGGCUGUUCGCCCAUUAAAGCGGUACGCGAGCUGGGUUCAGAACGUCGUGAGACAGUUCGGUCCCUAUCCGUCGUGGGCGUAGGAAAUUUGAGAGGAGCUGUCCUUAGUACGAGAGGACCGGGAUGGACAUACCUCUGGUGUACCAGUUGUCGUGCCAACGGCAUAGCUGGGUAGCUAUGUGUGGACGGGAUAAGUGCUGAAAGCAUCUAAGCAUGAAGCCCCCCUCAAGAUGAGAUUUCCCAACUUCGGUUAUAAGAUCCCUCAAAGAUGAUGAGGUUAAUAGGUUCGAGGUGGAAGCAUGGUGACAUGUGGAGCUGACGAAUACUAAUCGAUCGAAGACUUAAUCAA